GUGGGGAAUUUUGGACAAUGGGCGCAAGCCUGAUCCAGCAAUGCCGCGUGCAGGAAGAAGGCCUUCGGGUUGUAAACUGCUUUUGUACGGAACGAAACGGCUCUGGUUAAUACCCGGGGCUAAUGACGGUACCGUAAGAAUAAGCACCGGCUAACUACGUGCCAGCAGCCGCGGUAAUACGUAGGGUGCAAGCGUUAAUCGGAAUUACUGGGCGUAAAGCGUGCGCAGGCGGUUUUGUAAGACAGGCGUGAAAUCCCCGGGCUCAACCUGGGAAUGUCGCUUGUGACUGCAAAGCUGGAGUGCGGCAGAGGGGGAUGGAAUUCCGCGUGUAGCAGUGAAAUGCGUAGAUAUGCGGAGGAACACCGAUGGCGAAGGCAAUCCCCUGGGCCUGCAUUGACGCUCAUGCACGAAAGCGUGGGGAGCAAACAGGAUUAGAUACCCGAGUAGUCC
Molecule: ribosomal RNA, 450 nt
Filed under: uncultured bacterium
Lineage: Bacteria
Description: partial 16S ribosomal RNA
Rfam family: Bacterial small subunit ribosomal RNA
Source: RNAcentral